GUCACUAAAUAAGCUACGCUUCUAAAUAAGCUGAAGCGUAGCUUAUUUAGUGACUCUAGUACAACUCAUCUACGAAAACGACAUCUAUGCUGCCCUCAUAGCUUUUUUUAUUUAAAAAAUCCUAAAGGACAAAGAAAAGCUCCCUGUAUAAUGACAGAUUACGAAACUUAUUUAAAACUGUCUUUAGGAAGCACAAAGAGAAAGGUCUUGUCAAAGAUCUUGAAGUCCAUCCCUCCACAUUCCGCUCUCACCCUGGAUAAGUGGGACAGCCGUUAUAACUCUUGAUCCAACAGCUUCGUGGGCCCAACAUCUCCACUAGCUAGCAGGUCCGAAAGAGAUGUCUCUUUUCUAGUGGAAGCAGUCUCUCCACUAAGGAAGGGACGCAGAGAUAAAGACAGGGUAUCCCUACACCUUCCCAGCUCCUCUCCUUGUACAGUUUGGUGAUCCGCAUCCUGGGUUGCUUCUGCUAUGGGACUUCGCGAUACACAGCUCCUAAUAGGUCGCAGCAGGUGAUCGGAGUUCCCUCUAAUGUAUUGUUUUUCCAAGCAAUUUUAAUAUGUUUCUUUUUUUUUUCUGUGUGUCUUUGCCGAGGAAAUCGAGGUGGACACAGCGGUGAACUUCUUCCGUUAGGUUGGGACCCUGCUGCAAGGAGUGGUUGCCGCUGCUCCUUUUACCUGCAAUGAGCUAAAGACAGCGUCACCAACAGGGAAAACCCAGCUCACCUAGGCUAACCUCUCCUGAAACCCACAAAGAAAGAAGAAAACAAUGAGGAAAGCGGACGUACAGGGAGCAAAGUUCUUUAGCCCUCCGCCUGGAGGUGUUGGAUACCGACCCCCAGGACGUAUGUCUGUCGUCUGCUAAGCGACCUUCUGGGAAGCACUGGGAGUGGAUCAUUCCGAGGUAAACUUCCGCCAUCUCUACUGUUUCCAAGGAAUGCAAGGGAAGAGUCGGCAACAUCGUGUUCUUUGCCAUGCUUAUAUUAUCGACGAAGGCAUCGUGCUGUAACCGGUUGGAGUUCUUAUAGGCCAUGGAAGAGUGCCACCAUGCAGUACAGUGAAGCAAGGAUGCAGUCAGCCUCGAGUGAAGCAGGAAGCUUCGCAGCGUUUCAGAAAUUUUCUAACAGGACUAGUAGAAGUGGAGGAACCACUCUAUGGACCCUGUGGGUUACAGUAAGCACUGUAUUAGCCGGUCUACAAUGUGCACAUUAUACGUGAUAAAAGGUGUCGUGAAGAGGCAGCGCGUUAUGUAUUGGGGUUGUUUCGAAUUCCGAUAAUUUUUUGGGGGUGCACGUUAUACACCGGAA
This is a long non-coding RNA of Ornithodoros turicata, 1303 nucleotides long. RefSeq lists it as uncharacterized. The record is from RefSeq and is a predicted model, not a curated record. NCBI's taxonomy places the organism in Eukaryota, Metazoa, Arthropoda, Arachnida, Ixodida, Argasidae. The transcript has 3 exons.